UACGUAGGGGGCUAGCGUUGUCCGGAAUCACUGGGCGUAAAGGGUGCGUAGGUGGUGAGGUAAGUCGGAUGUGAAAUCUCCAAGCUCAACUUGGAAAUGGCAUUGGAAACUACCUUGCUGGAGGUUUGGAGGGGGGACUGGAAUUCUCGGUGUAGCAGUGAAAUGCGUAGAUAUCGAGAGGAACACCAGUGGCGAAGGCGAGUCCCUGGACAAAACCUGACACUGAGGCACGAAAGCUAGGGGAGCAAACAGG
This 253-nucleotide ribosomal RNA is filed under the name uncultured bacterium. RNAcentral's name for it is "partial 16S ribosomal RNA". It matches the Rfam family "Bacterial small subunit ribosomal RNA", at positions 524 to 776 of the family's 1533-position model. The record is from RNAcentral.